CCUACGGGCGGCAGCAGUCGAGAAUCAUUCACAAUGGGGGAAACCCUGAUGGUGCGACGCCGCGUGGGGGAAUGAAGGUCUUCGGAUUGUAAACCCCUGUCAUGUGGGAGCAAAUUAAAAAGAUAGUACCACAAUAGGAAGAGACGGCUAACUCUGGGCCAGCAGCCGCGGUAAUACAGAGGUCUCAAGCGUUGUUCGGAAUCACUGGGCGUAAGGCGUGCGUAGGCUGUUUCGUAAGUCGUGUGUGAAAGGCGCGGGCUCAACCCGCGGACGGCACAUGAUACUGCGAGACUAGAGUAAUGGAGGGGGAACCGGAAUUCUCGGUGUAGCAGUGAAAUGCGUAGAUAUCGAGAGGAACACUCGUGGCGAAGGCGGGUUCCUGGACAUUAACUGACGCUGAGGCACGAAGGCCAGGGGAGCGAAAGGGAUUAGAUACCCGUGUAGUC
This 446-nucleotide ribosomal RNA is filed under the name uncultured bacterium. Its description in RNAcentral is "partial 16S ribosomal RNA". It matches the Rfam family "Bacterial small subunit ribosomal RNA", at positions 338 to 795 of the family's 1533-position model. The record is from RNAcentral.